UGCGCAGUGGGGGUUCGGUUGUCCUCGCCGGUCUCACAAGACUGGAUAUCGUCAGUUCGAAUCUGACCCCGCGCAACCA
Molecule: transfer RNA, 79 nt
Filed under: Streptosporangiales bacterium
Lineage: Bacteria; Bacillati; Actinomycetota; Actinomycetes; Streptosporangiales
Description: tRNA-Val
Source: RNAcentral